RNAcentral lists this long non-coding RNA (204 nucleotides) under Saimiri boliviensis boliviensis (Bolivian squirrel monkey). RNAcentral describes it as "lncRNA (ENSSBOG00000036630.1)". Lineage: Eukaryota; Metazoa; Chordata; Mammalia; Primates; Cebidae. The record is from RNAcentral.
GGGACAAAAAUGAAGGUUAUUGAAAAGAAUCAUGCUUGGUGGAAGAAGUAAUUACAUUUUUUUUCAAAUGUCAGAGGAAUAAUGCUUUUAUAUUUCCUGAGGUGACCCAAUUUGCACUACGAUAUGCUCCCUUAAAUGAGAAAAGCAACGAUAGCCCAUAGAUGAUCUGAAAACAGAAUGAAUUGGAACACUUGUGCUUGAAAG